GGCGACAUGGCCGAGUGGUCUAAGGCGCUAGAAUCAGGUUGCUUGCCUUGUAUCUAGUCAUUCGUGGCGUGGGUUCGAAUCCCACUGUCGUCA
This is a non-coding RNA of Lentinula edodes (shiitake mushroom), 93 nucleotides long. The record is from the annotation of a RefSeq genome assembly. Lineage: Eukaryota; Fungi; Basidiomycota; Agaricomycetes; Agaricales; Omphalotaceae.